RNAcentral lists this long non-coding RNA (412 nucleotides) under Musa acuminata (dwarf banana). Its description in RNAcentral is "long non-coding RNA (MACU_LNC003051)". The record is from RNAcentral. Lineage: Eukaryota; Viridiplantae; Streptophyta; Magnoliopsida; Zingiberales; Musaceae.
UUCUGUAGAACAAGCGACGACCAUGGACAGAUCCGUCGGUAGCUUCGGGAUUCCAGCAGGGUCACUGAACGUCUUCUUCGUCAGUGCCAUCUUGAUCACCCUAGCGAUCUAUGACAGAGUCAUCAUGCCUGCCAUGAAGAAAUGGAAGGGCAAACAAGGUAAGCUGCAACGCUCGCUUUGAUUCCAUGAACGUUAACAGAUUAGCUGUAAUGCGGGUUUGGACGACAGGCUUCACCAACCUGCAAAGGAUCGGUCUCGGGCUAACCUUAUCCAUCAUGGCCAUGGCGUCGGCGGCGCUCACGGAGGUGAAGAGGCUCUCGGUGGCUCGGGAAGCAGGCAAGGCUGCUGCUCCCAGAGGCGCGGCGCUGCCCAUCAGCGUCUUCACGUUGGUACCGCAGUUCUUUCUCGUGGG